AUUGAACGCUGGCGGCAGGCCUAACACAUGCAAGUCGAGCGGAUGAAGGGAGCUUGCUCCUGGAUUCAGCGGCGGACGGGUGAGUAAUGCCUAGGAAUCUGCCUGGUAGUGGGGGAUAACGUCCGGAAACGGGCGCUAAUACCGCAUACGUCCUGAGGGAGAAAGUGGGGGAUCUUCGGACCUCACGCUAUCAGAUGAGCCUAGGUCGGAUUAGCUAGUUGGUGGGGUAAAGGCCUACCAAGGCGACGAUCCGUAACUGGUCUGAGAGGAUGAUCAGUCACACUGGAACUGAGACACGGGCCAGACUCCUACGGGAGGCAGCAGUGGGGAAUAUUGGACAAGGGGCGAAAGCCUGAUCCAGCCAUGCCGCGUGUGUGAAGAAGGUCUUCGGAUUGUAAAGCACUUUAAGUUGGGAGGAAGGGCAGUAAGUUAAUACCUUGCUGUUUUGACGUUACCAACAGAAUAAGCACCGGCUAACUUCGU
Molecule: ribosomal RNA, 483 nt
Filed under: uncultured bacterium
Lineage: Bacteria
Description: partial 16S ribosomal RNA
Rfam family: Bacterial small subunit ribosomal RNA
Source: RNAcentral